GGAGAGGUGGCGAGUGGGUCUAAUCAGGGCUCUCUUGAGGCCCAUAUGCGACAAGCGUAUCGUAGGUUCGAAUCCUACCCUCUCCGCCA
Molecule: transfer RNA, 89 nt
Filed under: Escherichia coli
Lineage: Bacteria; Pseudomonadati; Pseudomonadota; Gammaproteobacteria; Enterobacterales; Enterobacteriaceae
Description: tRNA-Lys
Rfam family: tRNA
About the family: Transfer RNA (tRNA) molecules are approximately 80 nucleotides in length. Their secondary structure includes four short double-helical elements and three loops (D, anti-codon, and T loops).
Source: RNAcentral